AGCCUAAACCAAGGGAGUUUACUCCUUUGGGGUUGUGGGACUUCCACAUAGGUACGACCAAGAGAAGCUAAUCAGUUUGGAAAACUGAACCAGAGAGGGUGAUAGUCCCGUAAGUGUAAUCGAGGCAGGCCUGGAAGUAUCCCAAGUAAUGCGGGACACGUGAAACCCUGCAUGAAUCUAGGCGGACCACCGUCUAAGGCUAAAUACUAACUGGAGACCGAUAGUGAACAAGUACCGUGAGGGAAAGGUGAAAAGGACCCCUGCUAGGGGAGUUUAAAGUUCCUGAAACCAUGUGCCUACAAAGUGUGGGAGCGUCUUUAUGGCGUGACCGCGUGCCUUUUGCAUAAUGAGUCUGCGAGUUAUUGUCAGUGGCAAGUCUAAGUUCUAAUGGAACGUAGGCGAAGCGAAAGCGAGUGUGAAUAGCGCGUCCAGUCGCUGGCGAUAGACCCGAAGCGGAGGUGAUCUAACCAUGGGCAGGUUGAAGCUGCAGUAACAUGCAGUGAAGGACCGAACCGUUGUACGUUGAAAAGUGCUCGGAUGACCUGUGGUUAGGAGUGAAAGGCUAAUCAAACCCCGUAAUAGCUGGUUCUCUCCGAAAUAGCUUUAGGGCUAGCGUCGGGUAAGUACGCCGAGGAGGUAGAGCACUGAUAGGCUUAGGGUCCCUAACCGGAUACCAAAACCUGUUAAACUCCGAAUGCCUCGGAUCCCAUUACCCCGGCAGUCAGUCGAUGAGUGAUAAGAUCCAUCGUCGAGAGGGAAACAACCCAGAUCAGCGGCUAAGGUGCCAAAAUACCGUUCAGUGGUAAGGAGGUGAAGUGACAUAGACAGUGAGGAUGUUGGCUUAGAAGCAGCCACCAUUUAAACAGUGCGUAACAGCUGACUCAUCGAGUUACUUCGCGCCGAAAAUGAUUGGCGAUAAACGGUAUACCGACGCCCUGGGUGUCUUCGGACACGGUAGGAGAGCGUAGUCUUUGCGUCGAAGCUGUUCUGUAAAGAGCGGUGAAGCGGAGACUAGCGAGAAUGCAGACAUGAGUAGCGAUAAACAAAGUGAGAAUCUUUGUCUCCGUAAACCUAAGGUUUCCUGGGCCAGGCUCGUCCUCCCAGGGUUAGCCGGGACCUAAGGCGAGGCCGAAAGGCGUAGUCGAUGGAUAUCAGGUUAAUAUUCCUGAGCUAAAGCGCAACAUGGGACGCAUGACAGUAAGGUAACACACACUAUGAUAUGUGAGUUUAGGCUUCGGCCGAAACACGUUACCCUAAGUUGUGCCGAGAAAACCGCGCAGGCCCGUACCUAAACCGACACAGGUAGGUGAGUCGAAUAGACUAAGGAGCGCGAGAGAAAUCUCUCCAAGGAACUCGGCAAAUUAGCCCCGUAACUUCGGAAGAAGGGGUGCCCAUUUCGGUGGGCCACAGUAAAUUGGGACUGGCGACUGUUUACCAAAAACACAGCUCUCUGCAAAGUCGUGAAGACGACGUAUAGGGAGUGACACGUGACCAAUGCGAAAAGAUUAAGGUGACUUGUUAGCCCUUGAGGCGAAGCUCGGAGCCCAAGUCCUCGUGAAUGUCGGCCGUAACUAUAACGGUCCUAAGGUAGCGAAAUUCCUUGUCGGGUAAGUUCCGACCUGCACGAAUCGUGCAACGACCGGUCCGCUGUCUCGGAGAGAAUCUCGGCGAAGUUGUAAUUGCGGUGAAGAUGCCGCAUACCCGCAGUAGGACGGAAAGACCCUGUACACCUUUACUAUAAGCAAGUAUUGGCUUUUGAUUAGUGAUGCGUAGCGUAGGUGGGAGACUUUGAAGUGAUGGCUUAGGUUGUCAUGGAGUCGAAAUGUGAAACACCACUCUUUACUACUUAGAAUUCUAACAAUGAUUUCUCUGAAGCGAGACAUUGAACAGUGCUUGCGGGUUAGUUUGACUGGGGCGGUUUCCUCCCAAAAAGUAACGGAGGAGCACUAAGGUACCUUCAGCAUGGUUAGUAACCAUGCGUAGAGCGUAUGCGUAGAAGGGUGCUUGACUGUGAGACCUACAAGUCGAGCAGGUACGAAAGUAGGUGCAAAUGAUCCGGUGGUAUGAAUGUGGAAUUGCCAUCGCUCAACGGACAAAAGGUACGUCAGGGAUAACAGGCUGAUCGCGCCCAAGAGUUCAUAUCGACGGCGC
Molecule: ribosomal RNA, 2151 nt
Filed under: marine metagenome
Description: bacterial LSU rRNA
Rfam family: Bacterial large subunit ribosomal RNA
Source: RNAcentral